This 64-nucleotide transfer RNA is filed under the name Pseudotibiozus cerasopus. RNAcentral's name for it is "tRNA-Cys". The record is from RNAcentral. Lineage: Eukaryota; Metazoa; Arthropoda; Diplopoda; Spirostreptida; Spirostreptidae.
GGUUUUAUAGUUUAAUUAAGAAUAUUAAAUUGCAAGUUUAGUGGUACUGUUUAUGUUAAAGCUU